RNAcentral lists this ribosomal RNA (454 nucleotides) under uncultured soil bacterium. RNAcentral describes it as "bacterial SSU rRNA". It matches the Rfam family "Bacterial small subunit ribosomal RNA", at positions 26 to 462 of the family's 1533-position model. The record is from RNAcentral.
AGGACGAACGCUGGCGGCGUGCCUAACACAUGCAAGUUGAGCGACGAACCAGGGCUUGCCCUGGGGCAAAGCAGCGAACGGGUGAGUAACACGUGGGUAACCUGCCCCGAUAACCGGGACAACCCGAGGAAACUCGGGCUAAUACCGGAUGUGCUCGCCGGACUUCGGUCCGGCGCGUAAAGGAAGCUUCGGCCUCCGUAUCGGGGAGGGGCCCGCGGCCCAUUAGUUAGUUGGUGAGGUAACGGCUCACCAAGACCGCGAUGGGUAGCUGGUCUGAGAGGACGAUCAGCCACACUGGGACUGAGACACGGCCCAGACUCCUACGGGAGGCAGGCAGGUGGGGAAUCGUUGCGACAAUGGCGACGAAAGCGUGACGCAGCAACGCGCGGUAGGGGGAAGAAGGUCCUUCGGGUUACGUAAACCCCUUUCGAGGAGGGAACGAAGGUUCGGCGGU